UUCCAGACUCCUACGGGAGGCAGCAGUAGGGAAUCUUCCACAAUGGGCGCAAGCCUGAUGGAGCAGCACCGCGUGAGUGAAGAAGGGUUUCGGCUCGUAAAGCUCUUUUGUUGGAGAAGAACGUGCGUGAGAGUAACUGUUCACGCAGUGACGGUAUCCAACCAGAAAGUCACGGCUAACUACGUGCCAGCAGCCGCGGUAAUACGUAGGUGGCAAGCGUUAUCCGGAUUUAUUGGGCGUAAAGCGAGCGCAGGCGGUUGCUUAGGGCUGAUGUGAAAGCCUUCGGCUUAAACGAAGAAGUGCAUCGGAAACCGGGCGACUUGAGUGCAGAAGAGGACAGUGGAACUCCAUGUGUAGCGGUGGAAUGCGUAGAUAUAUGGAAGAACACCAGUGGCGAAGGCGGCUGUCUGGUCUGCAACUGACGCUGAGGCUCGAAAGCAUGGGUAGCGAACAGGAUUAGAUACCCCCGUA
RNAcentral lists this ribosomal RNA (471 nucleotides) under uncultured bacterium. Its description in RNAcentral is "bacterial SSU rRNA". It matches the Rfam family "Bacterial small subunit ribosomal RNA", at positions 329 to 792 of the family's 1533-position model. The record is from RNAcentral.